Long non-coding RNA from Oncorhynchus tshawytscha (Chinook salmon), 2809 nucleotides. The record is from Ensembl. Lineage: Eukaryota; Metazoa; Chordata; Actinopteri; Salmoniformes; Salmonidae.
AUUUGAUUUCCAUUGAUAAUUUUUGUGAUUUUGUUGUCAGCACAUUCAACUCUGUAAAGAAAAAAGUAUUUAAUAAGAAUAUUUCAUUAAUUCAGAUCUAGGAUGUGUUAUUUUAGUGUUCCCUUUAUUUUUUUGAGCAGUGUAUAUAUUUACCAACCAAAUAUAUGGGGGAUUGGAAAUGAUGCAGACAAUUACAUUGAUGGAACCAAUACUCUUUCCACAAUAUUAAGCUGAUCCACCCCUUAAAAAAAUAAAGACAAAAUAAAUGUAUCAAAGAAAUCACUUAGUUUUAGCUCGGUCCGUCUUCUCUCUUUUGCUUGAUGUCAUUCUCUCCCCCUUCUCUCUCACAGUGUGCCUUCAUGCUCCUUUUAUUUAGCCUCCACGGCUGGUUGGCACUUUCCUCUAAUUACCUCCACUGAGAGCUGUCCGUGUCGGGGUGCCUGUCACCAGAAUUUUCAAUCCCAAUGAUAAUAACUAACAAUAAAUAGCUUUGACCAAUCCCCGAGGUUUAUAAGACCCUGGGUAUAAUAAUAAUUAGGCAAAGACUCAGCUUAUGCAAAAGGUUAGUCCAUUAUACAAACACAGUCUUUAUAACACACACAAACAGGUUCAAAUCUUAAACUAGACAGACAGUCAGUGUUUUUCCACUACACAGAUACAUUGUUUAAUCUGCAACAUGUUUCAUAAUCUUCUGCCAGCCUAACAGUUUCUCCCCUCCACGGGUAGAGACAGAAUGUCCUGUAAGGAACACAGAAGUCCAGCUUGUCUGUCGAUAGCUCCUCUUAUCAUUUGUUUCCCACUUGCACCCUGCUUACAUACUAAAAAGGAACAAAAGGUCCUUGUUCUAAUUCUGACUAAAACUACACGCAUCAUCAGGUUAUAGUUUUAUGAUUCUAAUCAAUUUCAUACAAUUAUAUGGUUUCAGAGUGGAAUUAUUUAAUCGUUAUCUUUAAACAAAUAAAUUAUUUUAUCAGUGCCCAGCUCCCGUAUUCCCGGCAGACGGAGCCAACGCCGCCUCACGUACCUCCCCUUUAUUACCACCCCCCAGGGUAGACCUCCUGGGAUACCACAGUGUCCUUUAGUAAUGGUUUCUUUGCAGCAAUUUGACCAUGAAGGCCUGAUUCACACAGUCUCAUCUGAACAGUUGAUGUUGAGAUGUGUCUGUUACUUGAACUCUGAAUCAUUUAUUUGGGCUGCAAUUUCUGAGGCUGGUAACUCUAAUGAACUUAUCCUCUACAACAGAGGUAACUCUGGGCCUUCCUUUCCUGUGGCGGUCCUCAUGAGAGCUACUUUCAUCUUAGCACUUGAUGGUUUUUGCAACUGCACUUGAAGAAACUUUCAAAGUUCUUGAAAUUUUCUGGAUAGACUGACCUUCAUGUCUGAAAGUAAUGGACUGUGUCUCUUUGCUUAUUUGAGCUCUUCUUGUCAUAAUAUGGACUUGGUCAUUUACCAAAAAGGCUAUCUUCUGUAUACCACCCCUACCUUUUCACAACACAACAGAUAGGCUCAAAAGCAUUAAGCAAAUAAAGAAUAGAAAUUGAAGAAUAUAAAAUAUGUAUUUGUUUAACGCUUUUGGUUACCACAUGAUUCCAUGUUUGUUAUUUCAGAGUUUUGAUGUCUUCACUAUUAUUCUACAAUGUAGAAAAUAGUAAAGAAAAACCCUGGAAUGAGUAGGUCUGUCCAAACUGGUACUGUAGGCCAACAGUAAUAGUGUUAUAUAGGCCAAUAGUAAUACUGUUAUAUAGGCCAACAGUAAUAGUGUUAUAUAGGCCAACAGUAAUAGUGUUAUAUAGACCAAUAGUAAUAGUGUUAUAUAGACCAACAGUAAUAGUGUUAUAUAGGCCAAUAGUAAUAGUGUUAUAUAGACCAACAGUAAUAGUGUUAUAUAGACCAACAGUAAUAGUGUUAUAUAGACCAAUAGUAAUAGUGUUAUAUAGGCCAACAGUAAUAGUGUUAUAUAGACCAAUAGUAAUAGUGUUAUAUAGACCAACAGUAAUAGUGUUAUAUAGGCCAAUAGUAAUAGUGUUAUAUAGACCAACAGUAAUAGUGUUAUAUAGACCAACAGUAAUAGUGUUAUAUAGGCCAAUAGUAAUAGUGUUAUAUAGGCCAACAGUAAUAGUGUUAUAUAGACCAACAGUAAUAGUGUUAUAUAGACCAACAGUAAUAGUGUUAUAUAGGCCAAUAGUAAUACUGUUAUAUAGACCAACAGUAAUAGUGUUAUAUAGGCCAACAGUAAUAGUGUUAUAUAGACCAACAGUAAUAGUGUUAUAUAGGCCAACAGUAAUAGUGUUAUAUAGACCAACAGUAAUAGUGUUAUAUAGACCAACAGUAAUAGUGUUAUAUAGACCAACAGUAAUAGUGUUAUAUAGACCAACAGUAAUAGUGUUACCAACUGUAAGUGUGCUGUUUAAAAAGUGUUUACCAUUAUGUCAUGUGUAGUGCACUGUCCCAAUCAUCCUAUGUAGCCUUUUUUACUCAUAUUCCACUGUCUUGCAAUGUUGAAGUUUGGGAGAAUUAUGGAAAAGCAGAGUAGCAUUAAUCCAUCAUGCAAUCAUGUUUUAUCUUGUAAUGCAUCAUGUUUUAUAUUGUAAUGCAUCAUGUUUUAUCUUGUAAUGCAUCAUGUUUUAUCUUGUAAUGCAUCAUGUUUUAUCUUGUAAUGCAUCAUGUUUUAUAUUGUAAUGCAUCAUGUUUUAUCUUGUAAUGCAUCAUGUUUUAUAUUGUAAUGCAUCAUGUUUUAUAUUGUAAUGCAUCAUGUUUUAUAUUGUAAUGCAUCAUGUUUUAUAUUGUAAUGCAUCAUGUUUUAUCUUGU